RNAcentral lists this ribosomal RNA (497 nucleotides) under uncultured bacterium. Its description in RNAcentral is "partial 16S ribosomal RNA". It matches the Rfam family "Bacterial small subunit ribosomal RNA", at positions 28 to 507 of the family's 1533-position model. The record is from RNAcentral.
GAUGAACGCUGGCGGCGUGCCUAAUACAUGCAAGUCGAGCGAACAGACGAGGAGCUUGCUCCUCUGACGUUAGCGGCGGACGGGUGAGUAACACGUGGAUAACCUACCUAUAAGACUGGGAUAACUUCGGGAAACCGGAGCUAAUACCGGAUAAUAUAUUGAACCGCAUGGUUCAAUAGUGAAAGACGGUUUUGCUGUCACUUAUAGAUGGAUCCGCGCCGCAUUAGCUAGUUGGUAAGGUAACGGCUUACCAAGGCAACGAUGCGUAGCCGACCUGAGAGGGUGAUCGGCCACACUGGAACUGAGACACGGUCCAGACUCCUACGGGAGUCAUCAGUAGGGAACCUUCCGCAAUGGGCGAAAGCCUGACGGUGCAACGCCGCGUGAGUGAUGAAGGUCUUCGGAUCGUAAAACUCUGUUAUUAGGGAAGAACAAAUGUGUAAGUAACUAUGCACGUCUUGACGGUACCUAAUCAGAAAGCCACGGCUAAGUACGUG